GGGGGGUUGGCCGGAUCCUGGGCUGUGUCCCGGCGCCCUUUGCUCCGGGGCCUCCGUGUUGGAUUCACGCUACCAGCCGCGCAGCCCCCU
RNAcentral lists this microRNA precursor (90 nucleotides) under Canis lupus familiaris (dog). RNAcentral's name for it is "mir-8799 microRNA precursor family". It matches the Rfam family "mir-8799 microRNA precursor family". The record is from Rfam by way of RNAcentral. Lineage: Eukaryota; Metazoa; Chordata; Mammalia; Carnivora; Canidae. RNAcentral also lists the same sequence under 1 other name.